Magallana angulata is the source of this 994-nucleotide long non-coding RNA. RefSeq lists it as uncharacterized. The record is from RefSeq and is a predicted model, not a curated record. Lineage: Eukaryota; Metazoa; Mollusca; Bivalvia; Ostreida; Ostreidae. The transcript has 2 exons.
GAAUGUAUAUGCCAAAUUAUUCUGAAAUAGUCCGUUUCGUUUUUGAAUACGGGCCCGAUAUAUUGACAGGGCGCUCAAUUUUGACGCCGUGCAAGUCUUAGUAAAAUAGCAUAUAUUUUUAUCAAAUUACUAAAAACAGCAAACCUUACGAGAAAAUUUGAUUAUAAAUAGUUACUAAACUCACUCAGCUUAAUGAUUUCCAAUUUUAAAAAGUAUUGAAAAGUUUGAGUUUCGAGUUUAAAUUGCCGUUAAAAUUAGCAAAUUCGAGUGAAAUCUGGUUGUCUUUCUUGGUUGAUUCACAAUAUCGUCGCUAGAUGGCGCCCCGUUGCUACGUACGCUAGUGCGCGAAAAUGGAAGUUCGAGAAGACUACACGGUUUCGGGACACUACGCAAACAGUUUCACAAGUCUGUAUAAAGCCGAUCCAGAAUAAACAACUCCAGUGACCCUUUGUAAUUGUUGCAGAGACAUAACAAUACAUCUGCAAGGUUUAAAACUUAGUGAUGGCCGACAUACACCUGUCAACCCAGCCGCGGACAGCGAAGGAAGUCAUACCCCAAAGAAUCACAUUAUAUACAGGACUCAGAACUUUGACAAUCAUAGACCCUGUCAUAACAUUAAACUGAACUGAUGAGGCAGAAUAUAUCUUACAGAAUGUUUCAACAAGCGAAAAGUCGAAGAAUGUGUUGACCCAGUGCUUAAUCUGAUUGCACCAGGGCAAUCAGAGAAAUUAAAACAAUUGAUUAUGUUAGGACCUAAAUCAACUCCAACAGAUAAAGAGCUGACAAACUACAUGUAUAUGAGGAAAUAACUAACAUUGAACUUCACACUCAAAUUUUUUCAAUGUCAAAAAACUAUGUUAUUAUAUAUAACAGUAAUAAGAUGUACAUGUAUAACUAAUUUAUGUAGAAGAUAAGUGCAUAUAUGUAUGUCCCUUUCUCACUGAUUGUCCAUUAUACAUGUAUAGAAAGAAUAAAGAAAUUUUAUAUCUCAUUA